RNA transcript from Benincasa hispida (wax gourd), 1328 nucleotides. RefSeq lists it as uncharacterized. NCBI's taxonomy places the organism in Eukaryota, Viridiplantae, Streptophyta, Magnoliopsida, Cucurbitales, Cucurbitaceae. The record is from RefSeq and is a predicted model, not a curated record.
UCUCUCCAGCUCUGUUGCGGACACGUUUUGAAGAAAGAGAAGCGAAUUCGAAAACAGAAAGAAAAAAACCAAAACAAAAAAAAUGGGAAGUGAUUUCUUUAGCGAAUCUGAAACGUGGGUUUCUUCUGUGAACGGAAUUCGAGAAGACCCAGAUGAUGAAAUUUCCAUUGAAGAAGGUGAAGGAAUCGGGUCGGAUUCGGAUUUGGAAUUGGACGAAUCGGUUCAAAUGGGAGCGAAGAAGAAGAUGAUAAAGAAGAGGAGUCAGGUUUUGCUUGAAGGAUUUGUGGAGGAUGAUGACGAUUUGAUGAGGACGAAGAGCUUGACGGAUGAGGAUCUUGAUGAGCUUAAAGGCUGUGUAGAUCUAGGGUUUGGUUUCAGUUAUGAUGAGAUUCCGGAGCUCUGCAACACUCUGCCAGCCUUGGAGCUCUGUUAUUCCAUGAGCCAAAAGUACAUGGACGAUCAGAAGUUGCUGGAGAGCUCUCCGGUGCCGGCGGACUCUUGUUCGUCCGUGUCGAGUCCGAUUGCCAAUUGGAAGAUCUCUAGUCCCGGCGAUCAUCCAGAAGAUGUUAAGGCAAGGCUCAAAUUUUGGGCUCAGGCAGUGGCAUGUACUGUUAGAUUAUGCAACUAAGAAGACCAUGGAAUGGAAGUUUUGAUUUGGCGGAGAAAAAUGAAUGCAUCUUUUUGCACCGGUAACCUUUAGCCUUAUGGUUGACGACUUUGCACACUUCUGAGAAAAGAUAGAUUGAAUGAUUGAACAAACGUGUCGUUUGAUGAGUCUGACUUAUGAUGAAGGAGAAGAAGAAGAAGAAGAAGAAGAAUGUGUCAGUGGUUUGACUUUGAGAGCUUAGCUUCCAUAACACACCCAACACCCAAGUCUCUUUCACUGACCUUUUUGCAUAUGGCUGAGGUUUUUCCAAUGGAAAGCAGGGCAGAAAGUUCAUUCUUUGUUGUUUCAAUGUCUAAGUAGGGAAGUUUUUGGUUUCUGAUUUUGGGUUGGUGGUGGUAAUAUCUUCUAGUUUAUGCUAUCCAACAACUUCAAGUUAGAGGCUGGGGAACGUUACAGUCUCGAUGUCGUCUCUACUUCCUGAUUUCUAAUCUACCUGAGUGCCUUGAUGCCAAAGGAAAAGAAAAUGUUUGGUUGAUGUUGUAUAAGUAGAAAGGUUCCGACUUAUGAUGUCUUUGUAGUUAAGUUCUUGAGUUUAGGGCAUGUUCGGCCAAGGAGUGGGAGAGUUUAACUUUACUUCUUGUUUGGUCAUCGAAUUCUUAAGCUCGUUUUAGUCUUAUGACUAAAAGCCAUCAAUUUUACGACUUUUUAAUUCUUUACACAA